CCGCGAGGUGGAGCAAAUCUCAAAAAAACAAUCUCAGUUCAGACUGCAGGCUGCAACUCGCCUGCACGAAGUCGGAAUUGCUAGUAAUCGUAGGUCAGCAUACUACGGUGAAUACGUUCCCGGGCCUUGUACACACCGCCCGUCAAACCAUGAGAGUUGGCAACACCCGAAGUCGGUAGUCUAACCGCAAGGAGGACGCCGCCGAAGGUGGGGUUGAUGAUUAGGGUUAAGUCGUAACAAGGUAAC
RNAcentral lists this ribosomal RNA (246 nucleotides) under uncultured bacterium. RNAcentral's name for it is "partial 16S ribosomal RNA". It matches the Rfam family "Bacterial small subunit ribosomal RNA", at positions 1255 to 1500 of the family's 1533-position model. The record is from RNAcentral.